Molecule: transfer RNA, 72 nt
Filed under: Camelus bactrianus (Bactrian camel)
Lineage: Eukaryota; Metazoa; Chordata; Mammalia; Artiodactyla; Camelidae
Also listed under: 1 other name
Rfam family: tRNA
About the family: Transfer RNA (tRNA) molecules are approximately 80 nucleotides in length. Their secondary structure includes four short double-helical elements and three loops (D, anti-codon, and T loops).
Source: Rfam by way of RNAcentral
GAGGGUGUAGCUCAGUGGUAGAGCGUGUGCUUAGCAUGCACAAGGUCCUGGGUUCAAUUCCCAGCACUUCCA